AAAGUGUCUCAAAACAUUUACCCUUUUAGAUGGUACAUUUUAAAGCACAGUAAACUGGGUAAAACAUGCUGUUCUGAGCUCCAACAGAAGGGGGCAACAUUAUCUCACAAGCUUUUUUGUUCACACCAAAUAAGCACCUGACGUCUAUAAGAAACAGCUGAAAGCACAGAACAUGUUUCAUAUUUCAUUAACCCACACACACAUUAUUCACACACAACAGAAGUUCACUCAGUCUCAGUGCUGUCAGUCAACCAUCAGCUACUCUCAUAUUUUCAUUCAUUUUAUAAAACCACAUUCAGCAGAAUUUGGAACCAAUAUAUUGUGGACAUCAGUUAAGAUGGAGGAGAGACAGAUGAUACUCAUAAUGAUCAUCACAGUUUCAGGUGGUUUUGCUGAUAGAAUUGGACCAAGAGAAGGAGACACUAAUAUAAUCAGAGAAGAAGGAGAGUCUGUGACACUGAGCUGCACAUAUGAAGCAAACAGCAAUGAUAUUUGGCUCUACUGGUACAGACAAUAUCCAA
This is a long non-coding RNA of Carassius gibelio (silver crucian carp), 521 nucleotides long. RefSeq lists it as uncharacterized. The transcript is spliced from 3 exons. The record is from RefSeq and is a predicted model, not a curated record. Lineage: Eukaryota; Metazoa; Chordata; Actinopteri; Cypriniformes; Cyprinidae.